RNAcentral lists this ribosomal RNA (354 nucleotides) under Pantoea sp. DJM30. RNAcentral's name for it is "bacterial SSU rRNA". It matches the Rfam family "Bacterial small subunit ribosomal RNA", at positions 857 to 1210 of the family's 1533-position model. The record is from RNAcentral. Lineage: Bacteria; Pseudomonadati; Pseudomonadota; Gammaproteobacteria; Enterobacterales; Erwiniaceae.
GCGAUAAGUCGACCGCCUGGGGAGUACGGCCGCAAGAUUAAAACUCAAAUGAAUUGACGGGGGCCCGCACAAGCGGUGGAGCAUGUGGUUUAAUUCGAUGCAACGCGAAGAACCUUACCUGCUCUUGACAUCCAAAGAACUUUCCAGAGAUGGAUUGGUGCCUUCGGGAACUCUGAUACAGGUGCUGCAUGGCUGUCGUCAGCUCGUGUUGUGAAAUGUUGGGUUAAGUCCCGCAACGAGCGCAACCCUUUUCCUUUGUUGCCAGCGAGUAAUGCGGGAAACUUUAAGAGACCGGCCGGGAACAACCGGAGGAAGGUGGGGAUGACGUCCAGGCAUCCUUGGCCCCUAACAGCA